Molecule: long non-coding RNA, 1205 nt
Filed under: Ananas comosus (pineapple)
Lineage: Eukaryota; Viridiplantae; Streptophyta; Magnoliopsida; Poales; Bromeliaceae
Description: long non-coding RNA (ACOM_LNC024301)
Source: RNAcentral
GCCGAGCGCGAGUUCACACGGCGAGGAUCGCGGUAAGGGCCUAGCGCCCUAGUUGCAUUAGUUUACUUUCCUAUUUCUGCAUUAGAGUUACCUUUAUAUACAUUGAGAGUAGAUGAUGUAUAGGUUGUGAGCUAUUUUGGGAUGAAUGUAAGCUAAUGUUUGUAUUUUGGAAGAUGUAAGCUUUAUAUUAUGUUUAGAAGCUUAAUGCAUAAUCAAGUUGUAUUAUAAAGGCUGAAUGAAUGUAAUAGAUAGAUGUUCCUCUCUUUAUCAUUACUCGUAUGUUCUAUACUUGUAUCUUGCUCUUAGUUGUUUAGCACUGAUUGUGCUCCCCUCGUAGUUGUUAAGUGAUCAUGUAUGUAUUCAAGUGAUUUCCUGGGAACUUGUUGUACAUGAUCUGUUGGUUAGCCUUGGGCGGACAGCGGAGGUGCUGUCCGUUCGGCGUCUGUUCGACGCGCCCGAGCCUGACCAAAUUGGUAGCGGUCUCGGGGCGUGACAGUAUUGGUUUGUUGUUCAGUCACUUGGUGAGAGGUACGUCGGAGUCUCGUUGAGACUGGCAUUUAGUGUUGAUAAAAACAUUGAUCACUAGGGUCCCUUGGGGACGUCAGCGACAGGGUCUCGUAGAGACAGAUGUUGAGCAUCACUGGUGGUUACGGUCGCAUGUUGCGAGUAGCAACUCGGUUCACCUAGUAAUGGACAUGCAUUGGUCUUAUGUUGAUCUGUUUGUACCCGAGUGAGUGUUGAGCAAGCUAAAUUGACGGGCUCAACUGGUAGUGGUAGCCUUAGACCUUCUGGUCUAGGCGGAAGGUUAGGUCUUGAACCUAAGUGAGUCGGGUUGCAUUGGUAGGUUUCGAUGGUUAUGGUUUGGUUCUGUCUGAAUUUUAGUUCGGACUAGUGAGAGGUUGUAGGCUCCGAGGUGAGUGUUGGUACUCUGGUUUAGGGGUUUUCCUACCUUGGCACUAUAGCCAUGUUUGGUGCGUUAGUGAAUUGUUAACCGAAAUUAUUUUCGGUGGUGCGUAGGCAAGUUUCGGGGACAAAACUUUCUUUAAGGGGGGGAUGAUAUAAGGACUGAGAAUUUGACUAUAUAGUCAGACUCUCUGUUGACAAUGUUUUUGUGUGUAAUUUAAUUACAAAAGCACUCAUCAAGCUACGGGAGAAAACGAGUUAAAACGGAGAUUUUACGCGAUCUCCAAGUUUCACUUUAAGUG